GAUGAACGCUGGCGGCGUGCCUAAUACAUGCAAGUCGAGCGAACAGACGAGGAGCAUGCUCCUCUGAUGUUAGCGGCGGACGGGAGAGUAACACGUGGUUAACCUACCUAUAAGAAUGGGAUACCUUUGGGAAACCGGAGCUAAUACCGGAUAACAUGUUGACUCGCAAGGUUCAACCGUGAAAGUAGGUCGUGCUGUCACUUAUAGAUGGACACGCGCCGCAUUACCUAGUUGGCAAGGUAACUGCUUACCAAGGCAACGAUGGGUAUACGACCCGAAGGGGAGGUCGGCCACCCUGGCACUGAGACAGAUCCCAGACUCCGGCACGAGGCAACAGUAGGGAAUCUUCCGCAAUGGACGAGAGCCUGACGGUGCAACACCGCGUGAAUGAAGAAGGACUUCUGAUCGUUAAACUCUGUUGUUAGGAAAGAACAAAUGCGUAAGUAACUAUGCACGUCUUGACGGUACCUGAUCAGAAAGCCACGGCUAACUACGUG
RNAcentral lists this ribosomal RNA (497 nucleotides) under uncultured bacterium. Its description in RNAcentral is "partial 16S ribosomal RNA". It matches the Rfam family "Bacterial small subunit ribosomal RNA", at positions 28 to 507 of the family's 1533-position model. The record is from RNAcentral.